RNAcentral lists this ribosomal RNA (807 nucleotides) under uncultured bacterium. RNAcentral's name for it is "bacterial SSU rRNA". It matches the Rfam family "Bacterial small subunit ribosomal RNA", at positions 96 to 921 of the family's 1533-position model. The record is from RNAcentral.
UGGCGGACGGGUGAGUAACGCGUGGGUAACCUGCCAUAUACAGGGGGAUAACACUUAGAAAUAGGUGCUAAUACCGCAUAAGCGCACAUGGCCGCAUGGCCAGGUGUGAAAAACUCCGGUGGUAUAUGAUGGACCCGCGUCUGAUUAGCUAGUUGGUGAGGUAACGGCCCACCAAGGCGACGAUCAGUAGCCGGCCUGAGAGGGUGGACGGCCACAUUGGGACUGAGACACGGCCCAAACUCCUACGGGAGGCAGCAGUGGGGAAUAUUGCACAAUGGGGGAAACCCUGAUGCAGCGACGCCGCGUGAGUGAAGAAGUAUUUCGGUACGUAAAGCUCUAUCAGCAGGGAAGAAAAUGACGGUACCUGACUAAGAAGCCCCGGCUAACUACGUGCCAGCAGCCGCGGUAAUACGUAGGGGGCAAGCGUUAUCCGGAUUUACUGGGUGUAAAGGGAGCGUAGACGGCAGCGCAAGUCUGGAGUGAAAUGCCGGGGCUCAACCCCGGAACUGCUUUGGAAACUGUGCAGCUUGAGUGCGGGAGAGGUAAGUGGAAUUCCUAGUGCAGCGGUGAAAUGCGUAGAUAUUAGGAAGAACACCAGUGGCGAAGGCGGAUUACUGGACGAUAACUGACGGUGAGGCGCGAAAGCGUGGGGAGCAAACAGGAUUAGAUACCCUGGUAGUCCACGCUGUAAACGAUCAAUACUAGGUGUGCGGGGACUGACCCCCUGCGUGCCGGAGUUAACACAAUAAGUAUUGCACCUGGGGAGUACGAUCGCAAGGUUGAAACUCAAAGGAAUUGACGGGGGCC